Molecule: long non-coding RNA, 268 nt
Organism: Tupaia belangeri chinensis (Chinese tree shrew)
Lineage: Eukaryota; Metazoa; Chordata; Mammalia; Scandentia; Tupaiidae
Exons: 3
Source: RefSeq, a predicted model, not a curated record
CCCUGCAGGUCUACAGGGGCCACGGUGACCUUGUCCGCUGCCUCAGUGUCUCCCCAGGGGGCCAGUGGCUGGCUUCAGGCUCAGAUGAUGGCACACUGCGGCUCUGGGAGGUGGCCACCGCCCGCUGCCUGAGGACAGUGCCUGUAGGGGGCGUGGUGAGGAGCGUGGCCUGGAACCCGAGCUCCACCCUGUGCCUGGUGGCUGUGGCUGUGGCAGACACCGUGUGGCUUAUCAACCCUGCCUUGGGCGACCGGCUGGUGGGGGGCGC